GAUCGAGGCAGUAGUAAGAGGCAAAACAGAGUAGUGUGGAGGGGGUCUGCGUACAUGUGCAAGCACACACACACACACACACACAAAUUAAUAAGAGAAUAAUUAAAAACAACACAUGAAUAAUAAUAAUUGCAAGAUGGCAAGAUUAAAAGCUUAUAUAGAAAUCCAUGAGUACAAAGUGCCUUCCGAGAGUGGGAUUCGUCAGGAAAAGCCCUCUGAAGUAGUGGGAUUUGAGCAGAGCUUGUUAAAUGCAAUAUUUUAUGUUGCCUUUCGUUCAACAAACAUUUGUGAAGUGCCCCUGUGGGUUGGGUUCCGGGUUCGCAAAAGGCUGGGAUGUCAAGAUGAACAGGACAAGGUCAGAUUCCCAAGUCUUGCUGUUCAUUUUGCCAUCAGCCCAGGCUAUGUUCUUAAUUAUAUCACAGAAUUUUUAGUUCAGUAUUUCCAGAUCUAGGGACUGAUGUUGAUUUUCUCUGGUCACUACAAAAGCAAGAAAAAUUAGAAGAACAGUGGAGGCUGUUAUCCAAAGUGGAUCACCACAGCUGAUGUGGAAAAGAAAACCCAAAAAUUCUGUGCUAAAAGGAGCCUAACUGAGGUCUCAGGCACACGUGCACUGUUAAAACUUAUCUAGCAGUUUGGCCUAUUCUGUCAAAAAGUAUCCAGGCCAAUUAUUUGCUAUUUUGCUUACAAGCCUUGCUUUAUUGAACUUUUUAAUUAGUGGAGUGGUUGUUAUACAGAUGCAGAUUUUAAAGGUUUCCUCCAAAUUUUCACUGAUGUUUUCAAUCUCUAGUACUUACAACAUUAUAUUAAACAAUUUUUAAGAUUUUUAAUUUUUUUCAUGGAGGAAGGGCUUGUUUUUUAGCUUUUCGAAUUGUCACAUUUUAAAAACAAAAAUUGCCUAUGACACACAAGUCCUCCUUUUUCUUCUAGCUGCUGUACCCAC
RNAcentral lists this long non-coding RNA (940 nucleotides) under Homo sapiens (human). RNAcentral's name for it is "non-protein coding lnc-EXOC5-3:1". The record is from RNAcentral. Lineage: Eukaryota; Metazoa; Chordata; Mammalia; Primates; Hominidae.